CCUACGGGGCGCUGCAGUGGGGAAUAUUGCACAAUGGGGGGAACCCUGAUGCAGCAACGCCGCGUGGGUGAAGAAGUACUCCGGUAUGUAAAGCCCUGUCAGCAGGGAAGAAAAUGACGGUACCUGACCAAGAAGCCCCGGCUAACUACGUGCCAGCAGCCGCGGUAAUACGUAGGGGGCAAGCGUUAUCCGGAUUUACUGGGUGUAAAGGGUGCGUAGGCGGAAUGCCAAGUCAGCGGUAAAAUCGCGGGGCUCAACCUCGCUCCGCCGUUGAAACUGGCGUUCUUGAGUGGGCGAGAAGUAUGCGGAAUGCGUGGUGUAGCGGUGAAAUGCAUAGAUAUCACGCAGAACUCCGAUUGCGAAGGCAGCAUACCGGCGCCCAACUGACGCUGAAGCACGAAAGCGUGGGUAUCGAACAGGAUUAGAUACCCGUGUAGUC
RNAcentral lists this ribosomal RNA (439 nucleotides) under uncultured bacterium. RNAcentral's name for it is "partial 16S ribosomal RNA". It matches the Rfam family "Bacterial small subunit ribosomal RNA", at positions 338 to 795 of the family's 1533-position model. The record is from RNAcentral.